UGAGAGUGCUCACUCGUUGUAGUACAGUUGGAACACUAUAGAGAAGAUUAGUAUGGCCCCUAUGCAAGGAUGGCAUGUAAAUUCAUGAAGUGUUCCUUUUUUGU
Small nuclear RNA from Pteronotus mesoamericanus, 104 nucleotides. The record is from RefSeq and is a predicted model, not a curated record. NCBI's taxonomy places the organism in Eukaryota, Metazoa, Chordata, Mammalia, Chiroptera, Mormoopidae.